AUUCACAGGACAAUUACAUACAGCAUAAAUGAGAGUUACGUAUACAUCAACUUGGUCUUUGAGAAGUUGGAGAAAUCUGUCUUGUAGAACUGACGUUGGAUCUUUAAAGAAGGCAUUAAUAUUUUCCUGUAGGUAUGGAUCUCUCAGAAUCAAACUGAUCAAAAGCGGGAAGCCAACUUCAUUACACACAGUCGGUAUUUGAAAAUAUUUGAUUCCGAAACAAUCAUCCCAGAAAACUAGCCCACCGUCACUUGAGAAUCUCGGAGCUUCGUUUUGUUUUCCUCUCAGAUGCACGACAUUAUAAUCCGGAAACUCAUUCCUCACCAAAUGGGUUGCUACUGUGGAUUUCCCACAUCCGGUUGCACCAUAAAGAAUUACAUAUCCUUCUGUCUUUACUUUUUUAACUGCUUUACUGUAUGUUUUAGGUUCUAUGAAUUUCUCUGAAAAACAAAACCAACAAGAUUUUUACUUUUAUAUCAAUGUAUUUAGCUCUAAAACUUCAUAGUUAUUUCGGAUUUCAAACAUUUCGGUUGAGCAUCACUGAAGAGACAUUAUUUGUCGAAAUACGCAUCUGGUGCAUCAAAAUUGGUACCGUAUAAGUUUUACAUAAUAGCGGUGUAUAACAGGCAGUGUAAUAAUCGAUUUCUUUCAUCAAACACCAGUAUCAAAUAUCAUCUCCCCAUUCAUCUAAACUGGAAUUUAAUUGGAAAGACGACAAUUAUAACUCGCAUAUAAUUAUUUCAGAGGGAAGAAGGAGUAUUGAUGAAUACUUUCAAGGUGUUGUAAUCCACUUUGAAAAGAAAAAUACAUAAUACAUGUAUAUGUGAAUCAAAUGUAUUCAUCAAAGGACGUUGAAAAAGAAUAUUGAGCGUGAGGAAUUCGAUUCACCACCAAUCGCAUCGAAAUAUAAUUCUAAGCACGUCCAAAUUACAAGUAUGAAAUUAUUUUUUCCGAAUAUUCCUUUGAUGGAAUGGAUUAAAAAUAUGAAUUUGGUUUUUUUUCAAAUUUCAUUUUAAUAUGGAGUAAUGAUCAACUGAUAGGUGGAAAGUGAUGUUAACAAACAGUUAUCAAUUUAGAAAUUCCUUUAAAUAAUACAGAAGUAAAAGGUGAAGAUAAAACUCAGUGAUCAAUCUCAUAAUUCCUAUAAAGAAUACAAAUUUACAAAUAGGUCAAAUGCAAUCCCUGGACAUACUAGAGGUGGGAUCAGUUACCUAGGAAAAGUAAGGAUUACCUGUCACAGCGAGCCCUUAAUUUGAUCAGUGUUACCCUCCAUGUCUGCAUUGGUUUCGGCUGUGGUGGUAUUCCCGACGUCCAUGAGAAACCCAGUACCUUCUUCUGUUUCUGAAUAACAAUAAAU
This is a long non-coding RNA of Ostrea edulis (European flat oyster), 1357 nucleotides long. RefSeq lists it as uncharacterized. NCBI's taxonomy places the organism in Eukaryota, Metazoa, Mollusca, Bivalvia, Ostreida, Ostreidae. The record is from RefSeq and is a predicted model, not a curated record. The transcript has 3 exons.